GGAAUUUUGCGCAAUGGCCGAAAGGCUGACGCAGCGACGCCGCGUGGGGGAUGAAGGCUUUCGGGUUGUAAACCCCUGUUGCCCGUGAAGAACGGUGCGAUCAGGAAAUGGGUCGCAUUUGACGGUAGCGGGAGAGGAAGCCCCGGCUAACUACGUGCCAGCAGCCGCGGUAAUACGUAGGGGGCGAGCGUUGUCCGGAUUUAGUGGGCGUAAAGGGCGUGUAGGCGGCCUUGUAAGUCGGGGGUGAAAACCCAGGGCUCAACCCUGGGCCUGCCUCCGAUACUGUGGGGCUUGAGUACUCUAGAGGGCAGUGGAAUUCCCGGUGUAGCAGUGAAAUGCGUAGAUAUCGGGAGGAACACCAGUGGCGAAGGCGACUGCCUGGGGAGAAACUGACGCUGAGGCGCGAAAGCUGGGGGAGCGAA
RNAcentral lists this ribosomal RNA (422 nucleotides) under uncultured bacterium. RNAcentral's name for it is "bacterial SSU rRNA". It matches the Rfam family "Bacterial small subunit ribosomal RNA", at positions 358 to 772 of the family's 1533-position model. The record is from RNAcentral.